Tympanuchus pallidicinctus (lesser prairie-chicken) is the source of this 2288-nucleotide long non-coding RNA. RefSeq lists it as uncharacterized. Lineage: Eukaryota; Metazoa; Chordata; Aves; Galliformes; Phasianidae. The record is from RefSeq and is a predicted model, not a curated record. The transcript is spliced from 4 exons.
CUGGACGGAGCUUCUAACGUUCUAAACUCUUCUCAUUCGGUAAUUGGCAAAUGCUUCAUUUACGUAUAUUGCGCACGUGCAGGGAAGUCGUGAGUCCUUGAAAUUAAGGGAUCCAAUAUUCGUGUAAAAAAAUACAGUGGAGGCAGGGCGAUGGCAAAUGUAUUUCUCAGAACUCGGGGAACGCCGUGGUGCUGGCAGACGCUGCUUCAGCUCGGUCGGUGGCUUUUCCCUGUAGCACAAACAGGGCGAGUAUACAAGCUCUGUGAAAUGACAUCGUACCUCGAUUCGGGCGCCUGCUGCGAUGCCGUUGGACAAAGGGCGCUCGGUGCUGUGAGUACUGCGGCAGCUCGGUCACACCGUCGGCAUCAGCUGGGAAUUGCACACAGCCUGUUGAGCACGAGGGGCACGUGGAAAUCGCCAGAUGAAAGCACGUGGCUGAAAUUCAGCAGGAGGAGAACUUACACGGGUAGCAGGCAACGAAGAUGAGGGUAAAAUCAAGAUGUGAAAAAUGCUUGAGUCCUUUUGGAGUUCUGUACGGCAGACCCGACCGAUUUCAGUUUAAAGGGGAAGCUCCAAAUCCAUGAGAGAGGACAGGGUAACACACACAUCUACAGGAUGCUCUCCUGCUGUGUCAUGAGGAUCAGAGCCAACCCCAUUGCUGUGUGAACUCUUCAGUGCACAGAGGACACAGUUCUUAAUUGUGGCCCGAGUCCCUGUGAGUUUCUUUUCCUCCCACAAAGCUGCUCACCCUGGAGGAGGCACAGGCACGGACACGAGGCCACAGCAGCUCUCCCGUUAUGCCAGACAGCAGAGACAGUGGAGUGGAAGAGGGCCCCACACCUUUACAGGGGAAAUUGCACACAGUCAUUGACUUUCCAUCCAGAAGAUGAAGAGGAGUUUCUUUUGCAGCACCUAUCAUAAUUGUUUGGGUGUUUUUUUUUUUUUUUCCAUUAUUACUAAUGCAAAACUUGCUGAAACUAAGUUACCUUAACCACUCAUGGAGUGUCGUAGCAAAUUUCCACUCACUUUGGACUCUGAGGACUCAACUACCUUACAACUGCCUGAUGGGCUCAGUUUAGGCACACAAUGGCACCGUUCCUUUCCUGUUAGGCAGCUCAGGUGUAUAAACCAUCUGAUGUCGAUGCUUGCCAGUACUGCCUGCACCUGGAGACAUCAGGGUUUUCCAGAUUCCAGGACCACGUGCCUGAAGUAAAUUCGGGUUCUCCUGUAAGCAGAGCUGUUGGACUGACUUGCUGUUUGCUAGGACUGGGAAGAGGCAGGGCUGCUGCAGCCCCAGCCCCACCUGGCAUGGGUCUCUGUAGGGCCGGGCUGCUGGCUUUGUUCCGGGCACUGCAGGGCUCUGUGACCAAAAAUUACCCCCAGGAGCUGUGCUCACACCUCGCUGGCAAACAUGGCUGAGAAACCCCUGCAUGUGGCCAGCCAGGAGCUGCUGCCCUUCUGACCACCUCACUCAAUAACUGCUCUCUGCUUGGGCGCACAUGCUGGAAGCUAUUACUCAACGAAUAAUACAAAUGUAAGAAAUAAACACUAAACAGGGCGUAUUGUCACAAGGUGGCCAGACAAGAGGAGUAAGAAAAUGUGUAAGCAUUGGGCAUGUAAGUUGUGUCUGUUUCCUUGGAGGCAGAAACCCUCAUGUUCUCCUAGUUCACUUGGGUGCAAUUUUACUUAAGAUCCUCUCAAGAUCUUCUGAGCCUGUUUGAGCCUUGAAGGGCAUGCACAGUCCACCCGUGAGUAUUUCUUUACUGGGAGACCUGCCACAUUUCAGUGGGAAGGUUACUGCUGCCCUCUGCAGCUGAGAGCCCAGACCUUCGUAUAUCGGCUGUGGCAUUGUUUUAGUAAAUCAUGCCUAGUCAAGGUUUGGAUUAAUUUGGCAUGUACAACAAUCUGUGUAUGGCUACCUGUUUAACUAUACUAGAUUGCAAACGUUUAACAAAGCAAACCUCCUCACUUUUGCCAGUGGUUUCCCGUCUGGUUACAAACUCAUCACUUACUGCAGUAAGAACACCACAUUUUGCUUCAGCGUUUGCUACGAAUUCCACACCUUGCUGUCAUUCCUUCCUCAGCUUCAUUUUCUCCACCCUUCACUGCUAUCGCAUCUGUUACCAGACGCAGCGCCGCUUUUGGCACAAGCUGCUCUUCUGUUCAGUGAGGGCAGAACCCUCCUGGGCCCUGCCAGCCCCCCCGCCACGCUUUUCUCAGCGUGCUCCGGAGCGGUCAGUCUUCAAGUCGGGCCCGGCUUCGGGUCCCUGUUCGGGCGCCAAUGCUCG